AAGCCAAGAGAAAAGGCCAAAGUGCCAAAGAAAGAUGUGCAUGUAAAGAAAACUGAACCACACAAGAAAG
Molecule: long non-coding RNA, 70 nt
Organism: Protobothrops mucrosquamatus (brown spotted pit viper)
Lineage: Eukaryota; Metazoa; Chordata; Lepidosauria; Squamata; Viperidae
Exons: 3
Source: RefSeq, a predicted model, not a curated record